This 439-nucleotide ribosomal RNA is filed under the name uncultured bacterium. Its description in RNAcentral is "partial 16S ribosomal RNA". It matches the Rfam family "Bacterial small subunit ribosomal RNA", at positions 339 to 795 of the family's 1533-position model. The record is from RNAcentral.
CUACGGGUGGCACCAGUGGGGGAUAUUGCACAAUGGGGGAAACCCUGAUGCAGCAACGCCGCGUGAAGGAAGACGGAUUUCGGUCUGUAAACUUCUAUCAGCUGGGAAGAAAAUGACGGUACCAGACUAAGAAGCCCCGGCUAACUACGUGCCAGCAGCCGCGGUAAUACGUAGGGGGCAAGCGUUAUCCGGAUUUACUGGGUGUAAAGGGUACGUAGGCGGUUAUUUAAGUCAGAUGUGAAAGCCCGGAGCUCAACUCCGGGACUGCAUUUGAAACUGGGUAACUAGAGUACAGGAGAGGAAAGCGGAAUUCCUAGUGUAGCGGUGAAAUGCGUAGAUAUUAGGAAGAACACCAGUGGCGAAGGCGGCUUUCUGGACUGUAACUGACGCUGAGGUACGAAAGCGUGGGGAGCGAACAGGAUUAGAUACCCUAGUAGUC